CCAGACCAAACCAAUGCAGACCAAACCAAUGCAGAACUCCUAUGUGCUGAUGGUGGUCUUACAUUUCCCUAAGUUUCUGCCGACUAAACUGUGCACACGUUCUCAGGACCUCCUGAAGCUGCGUCACAGGCACUAAUCAAAGAACACAACCAAGAGUUUGGCCUUUUCUUCAGCACUGGGAAUUGUGAUCCAAAGCUUUUCCUGAUGAAGCACAAAGUUGGAGAAAAAAAAGCAAACUAAACAACAACAAUGAAACAGAACAGAGUUAAUCUGCUGUAGCUCAAGAGAGGAUGUACCUGCCCCCACCCCGCAUCCCUGGGCUCGGGUUUGCCUUGCUGACCUCUGCUGCCACCUGGUGCCACACAGAGAAACUGAGGAGAAACCACAUCAGUCUCCUUCAGCCUCAGCUUCACAUCUGUGGGUCAAGUAACCCUUUCAGAAGCUGAAUAAUGUGGGAAAGCUUUCCUCUCAGGAAAAUGCACACAUCCAACUUUGAGAAGAUGCCCUUGGGGGUGCUUCAAGGAUCCUAGAUAAAGAACCCCCUUUCCCGAACAUCCAAGAACCUAAGUUUUUUUUUUUUUUUUUGAGAAAGUCUCGCUCUCUCUCCCAGUCUGGAGUGCAGUGGCGUGAUCUUGGCUCACUGCAAGCUCCACCUCCCAGGUUCACGCCAUUCUCCUGCCUCAGCCUCCCGAGUAGCUGGGGCUACAGGCACCUGCCACCAAACCCGGCUAAUUUUUUUGUAUUUUUAGUAGAGACGGGGUUUCACCGUGUUAGCCAGGAUCGUCUUGAUCUCCUGACCUUGUGAUCCACCCGCCUCGGCCUCCCAAAUUGCUGGGAUUACAGAUGUGAGCCACCGCACCUGGUCCAAGAACCCAAGUUUUAGAUCUAGAGUGAUGUCAGCAUGACAUUGAUUUCCUGAGGCCCAGGGUCGAAGGAGCUGAGGACAGCAGAGGGGUGAAGGAACUCAGCUACAGACAGCAGCAGCUGAUGCACAGGGCUCCCAGCGCCUGAAGUCACCCGGAAUUGGGAAGUGCUCAGAAGCUUACAAAGCUGCCUCGAGGUGGGAACAUGACAUAAAUCCAAGAGCAGAUCCCUGAUCCUAUAAAAAUGUACUAGAUGCAGUGGGGGCAUUUUAAAUGAGCAGAGAAGGACAGACAGAUAAACAGAAGGACAAACAGUAUUGGGAUUGGGAUAAAUGCUCAGCUUUUGCCCAAAUCUUAGUGACUUAAGCAUCACUUAUUUGCUCACGAUUCUGUGGCUGGACCAUUUGGUUUGGCUCACAGGGCAGGGACUGUGCUGGUCUUACCUGAGCAGACCUGCAUGUCUGCGGUCAACUGGGUUGGCAGAGACAGAGUGACUGUCUUCCUCCAGGAAGCAGCAGGUUAACUGGUUGGCAGAGACAGAGGGACAGAGGGACUGUCUUCCUCCAGGAAGCAGCAGGUUAA
Molecule: long non-coding RNA, 1445 nt
Filed under: Homo sapiens (human)
Lineage: Eukaryota; Metazoa; Chordata; Mammalia; Primates; Hominidae
Description: non-protein coding lnc-RTP5-8:19
Source: RNAcentral